RNAcentral lists this ribosomal RNA (506 nucleotides) under uncultured Glomus. Its description in RNAcentral is "SSU rRNA". It matches the Rfam family "Eukaryotic small subunit ribosomal RNA", at positions 569 to 1078 of the family's 1831-position model. Lineage: Eukaryota; Fungi; Glomeromycota; Glomeromycetes; Glomerales; Glomeraceae. The record is from RNAcentral.
AGCAGCCGCGGUAAUUCCAGCUCCAAUAGCGUAUAUUAAAGUUGUUGCAGUUAAAAAGCUCGUAGUUGAAUUUCGGGAUCAAUAUGUCGGUCGUGCCUCCGGUACGUACUGGCAUCAUUGAUUUCUCCCCUCUGACGAACCAUGAUGUCAUUAAUUUGGUGUCAUGGGGAGUCAGGACUGUUACUUUGAAAAAAUUGAGUGUUUAAAGCAGGCUCACGCUUGAAUACAUUAGCAUGGAAUAAUGAAAUAGGACGUUUGAUUCUAUUUUGUUGGUUUCUAGGAUCGACGUAAUGAUUAAUAGGGAUAGUUGGGGGCAUUAGUAUUCAAUUGUCAGAGGUGAAAUUCUUGGAUUUAUUGAAGACUAACUACUGCGAAAGCAUUUGCCAAGGAUGUUUUCAUUAAUCAAGAACGAAAGUUAGGGGAUCGAAGACGAUCAGAUACCGUCGUAGUCUUAACCAUAAACUAUGCCGACUAGGGAUCGGAUGAUGUUAAUUUUUAAUGACUCU